This 236-nucleotide ribosomal RNA is filed under the name uncultured bacterium. Its description in RNAcentral is "partial 16S ribosomal RNA". It matches the Rfam family "Bacterial small subunit ribosomal RNA", at positions 97 to 334 of the family's 1533-position model. The record is from RNAcentral.
GGCGGACGGGUGAGUAAUGCGUAGGAAUUUACCUCAAAGCGGGGGAUAGCCCGGAGAAAUCCGGAUUAAUACCGCUUGUGCUCUACGGAGGAAGGCGGGCCUCUACUUGUAAGCUCGCACUUUGAGAUAAGCCUACGUCGGAUUAGCUUGUUGGUGGGGUAAAAGCCUACCAAGGCGACGAUCCGUAGCUGGUUUGAGAGGAUGAUCAGCCACACUGGGACUGAGACACGGCCCAG